This 376-nucleotide ribosomal RNA is filed under the name uncultured bacterium. RNAcentral's name for it is "bacterial SSU rRNA". It matches the Rfam family "Bacterial small subunit ribosomal RNA", at positions 521 to 896 of the family's 1533-position model. The record is from RNAcentral.
UAAUACGUAGGUGGCAAGCGUUGUCCGGAAUUACUGGGUGUAAAGGGAGCGUAGGCGGGAAUCCAAGUUGGGUGUGAAAUGCUCAGGCUUAACCUGAGAGCUGCACCCAAAACUGGGUUUCUUGAGUGAUGUAGAGGCAGGCGGAAUUCCUAGUGUAGCGGUGAAAUGCGUAGAUAUUAGGAGGAACACCAGUGGCGAAGGCGGCCUGCUGGGCAUUAACUGACGCUGAGGCUCGAAAGCGUGGGGAGCAAACAGGAUUAGAUACCCUGGUAGUCCACGCUGUAAACGAUGAUUACUAGGUGUGGGGGGACUGACCCCUUCCGUGCCGGAGUUAACACAAUAAGUAAUCCACCUGGGGAGUACGGCCGCAAGGUUG